This 440-nucleotide ribosomal RNA is filed under the name uncultured bacterium. RNAcentral describes it as "partial 16S ribosomal RNA". It matches the Rfam family "Bacterial small subunit ribosomal RNA", at positions 338 to 795 of the family's 1533-position model. The record is from RNAcentral.
CCUACGGGAGGCAGCAGUGGGGAAUAUUGGACAAUGGGGGGAACCCUGAUCCAGCGAAGCCGCGUGAGGGAAGAAGUAUUUCGGGAUGUAAAGCUCUAUCAGCAGGGAAGAAAAUGACGGUACCUGACUAAGAAGCGCCGGCUAACUACGUGCCAGCAGCCGCGGUAAUCCGGAGGGGGCAAGCGUUAUCCGGAUUUACUGGGGGUAAAGGGGGCGUAGACGGUGCAGCAAGUCUGAUGGGAAAGGUCGGGGGCCAACCCCGGGACUGCAGUGGAAACUGUUGAACUGGAGUACAGGAGAGGUAAGCGGAAUGCCUAGUGUAGCGGUGAAAUGCGUAGAUAUUAGGAAGAACACCAGUGGCGAAGGCAGCAUACUGGACUGUAACUGACGUUGAGGCUCGAAAGCGUGGGGAGCGAACAGGAUUAGAUACCCCUGUAGUC